RNAcentral lists this transfer RNA (58 nucleotides) under Vibrio cholerae. Its description in RNAcentral is "tRNA-Gly". It matches the Rfam family "tRNA", at positions 1 to 56 of the family's 71-position model. From Rfam's summary of the family: Transfer RNA (tRNA) molecules are approximately 80 nucleotides in length. Their secondary structure includes four short double-helical elements and three loops (D, anti-codon, and T loops). Lineage: Bacteria; Pseudomonadati; Pseudomonadota; Gammaproteobacteria; Vibrionales; Vibrionaceae. The record is from RNAcentral.
GCGACACUAGCUCAGUUGGUAGAGCGCAACCUUGCCAAGGUUGAGGUCACGAGUUCGC